UGAAAACAAACGCAAAAUUGCCAUCGUUUUUUACCAUGGAAAAUGCAGAAUUCCAAAGCUUCCAACUUCUUCUAAAGGGAAGCAAGUGUUGUUGUCUCCAAGUUUCGAACAAUCUCCUCUUUCACAGAUAUUGUUUGGAGUUGUGUGAGGUGGAGAAGAUGGUCCCAUGGCAGAGGGUUCUUGGAAGCAAGAAGACAAUCCCUAGAGAGUCCUCGAAUUCUAAAGCGGCAUUGGUGGCAUAGAUGUUUACCAACAUAAUUUUGAGAGUUUGGCUGCAUAAAAGAACAGGUGGUGUUUGUUUGUCCAUUGCUUCAAAAGGGUUAGCAAUCACCGAGAUAGGUGAUUGAAGAUGUUGGAAUCAUAUCCCAACUGAAGAAUCUAGGUGAGAUUCAUUCAAUUUUUUAACCCUCUUUUUUUAGUUUUUAUGUAUUGAUUUUUCAAUGGAAAUG
Quercus robur (English oak) is the source of this 449-nucleotide long non-coding RNA. RefSeq lists it as uncharacterized. The transcript is spliced from 3 exons. The record is from RefSeq and is a predicted model, not a curated record. NCBI's taxonomy places the organism in Eukaryota, Viridiplantae, Streptophyta, Magnoliopsida, Fagales, Fagaceae.